AAGACUCAAAUUCUCCAUUAUCUUAAUUUGAAUGGUCACAAGUCAUAACAACCGGUGGGGUCACCUUGCUCCUCAAGUACAUUUUUCUGCAGCUUAUGAUUUGUAGAUCUCAAAACAAGCUUUAAAAUACAACCAAACAUUAAUUAAAUUCAAGCCCAGUUUUGACCCAAAUCCAUCAGCAUCAUCUAUAAAUAGGGGUCUUGAAGAAGCAGGAGUGUGUGUGUGUGUGUUAGCUUACAAUCUCCAUCCUUUGGCUGUUCGAGAACAGUUAAAAACCAGCAAAAGACAAGGGUAAAAGAGAGAAGUAUCAGUCUUCUGAGAUCUGAUGGUGGCUUUGAAAUUCAACAAGAGGAGGGUUGACAGAGUCACCGCUCUCUGUGUCCUCUCAGGUCUACUUGUGGGUGGUCUGAUCAGCUCGUCCUUAAAUGGGUCUCAACGGAACAUGGAGAAGAAAGAGGCUGAAGGCUACAUGGGACUUGCAGAGCACUUUGUUUAGAUUCGUGCCGCCUCUGCAACAAGAAACCUCGAUGAUGUCAAUCGUGUUCUGGGUUGUGCUUAGCAGAUCGAUUUCUUCCAUGUCUAUGUACUACCUUUAGUGGGAAGAGAUCAGAAAUAAAUCAUAAGGACCUCGAGGCAAUCGAUACGGUAGAGAGUGCGGUCUUGCCCAUGGGAAGAAGAAAAUACAUGUUCUACCCGAAAAGGAAAGAACAGAGAAA
Rhodamnia argentea is the source of this 716-nucleotide long non-coding RNA. RefSeq lists it as uncharacterized. The record is from RefSeq and is a predicted model, not a curated record. The transcript is spliced from 2 exons. NCBI's taxonomy places the organism in Eukaryota, Viridiplantae, Streptophyta, Magnoliopsida, Myrtales, Myrtaceae.